Molecule: long non-coding RNA, 555 nt
Filed under: Mytilus galloprovincialis (Mediterranean mussel)
Lineage: Eukaryota; Metazoa; Mollusca; Bivalvia; Mytilida; Mytilidae
Source: RNAcentral
AUUUGGUUACUGCUCAUUUCAGAAUCAUUGAUGGUUUGGAGGUAAGUUUAGACCAAUUUUUCUAUGAUUCCAUAUGGAUUCAAAAUUAAAUUGUUGAAACCAUAUAAUGAAUAAUGAUACAUGUACAAAAUAAACAUAUAAUGAAAACUUUUGUCUGAAGUAUAAAUAAACGUAGGUUAAAAAACUGUCAAAAUAGGUGUAAUUUGGGAACCCUGAUGUUAGUUAAGUAGGUAUUUUUUUUUGGCCAGCAAAAUGAAUUACCUGUAUAGACAAGAAGACAACAUUAGAGCAUUAAAGAAACUUUAUAUCUUGUUAUUUAAGUAUUGUGUAUAACUGAAGUUUUAUCAUGUUGAUUUUAAAUAUGAUAUGUUUUUCUAAGUAACGGAUGAAGGUAUAUAUGAUUAAAAGUGUGAAUGAUUGGUUUUUUGGAGUAAGGGAAUGAAUGAAUUGAUUGCUUGUAUGAUUUAAGGAAUGGAUGGUACAUGUAGUAUGAAUGCAUCUUUUAAAUUGUACUAUGGUUAACUGAUUACAUUAUGUUCCAAAUUGUACUAGGGA